Non-coding RNA from Salmo salar (Atlantic salmon), 54 nucleotides. The record is from Rfam. Lineage: Eukaryota; Metazoa; Chordata; Actinopteri; Salmoniformes; Salmonidae.
UGCAUUCACUACUAUAAGUCGCUCUGGAUAAGAGCGUCUGCUAAAUGAAGAAAA